Molecule: long non-coding RNA, 446 nt
Organism: Pieris napi
Lineage: Eukaryota; Metazoa; Arthropoda; Insecta; Lepidoptera; Pieridae
Exons: 3
Source: RefSeq, a predicted model, not a curated record
UAUAUAUCAUGACCAUGUCACGACGUCAAAGUAAUUUAUUGAAUUAUUAACAAUUUAUUUCUUGUUACAUAAAUUAUUUUACUAUGUCGAAUUACUUUCGUAUUUCUGACACGGAUCCGCCCGAAUUUUUAAAAAAGAAACCAAAAUGGCUGAUAUGCCUAAUCUGCACGGUCACCAUCAUAGUAAUGAUAGUGUCAGCAAUCUCUGUUGGAGUCUUCAUUGGCUAUGCUUACUGCUAUGUGGAACAUCAGACCGGAUUAACAGAGAACAUUACACAGCCGAACGAAAUUGAAAUAAUACAGAACUUACAAAAGGAUCCAGAAGCUUCAAAAAGAACAAUAAACGAUGCAAUCAAAAGCUUUCUAUCUUCGAGGAUAAAAAAAAUUAGCAAUUUCCUAUGGAGUGAUGGCAAUAAGCCGAUCAAGAUUAAACUUUGAUCUUUGUUC